This 589-nucleotide ribosomal RNA is filed under the name Candida albicans. Its description in RNAcentral is "eukaryotic LSU rRNA". It matches the Rfam family "Eukaryotic large subunit ribosomal RNA", at positions 69 to 670 of the family's 3401-position model. Lineage: Eukaryota; Fungi; Ascomycota; Pichiomycetes; Serinales; Debaryomycetaceae. The record is from RNAcentral.
CGGCCUAUUGCCGUGCACUGCGGCGAGUGAAGCGGCAAAAGCUCAAAUUUGAAAUCUGGCGUCUUUGGCGUCCGAGUUGUAAUUUGAAGAAGGUAUCUUUGGGCCCGGCUCUUGUCUAUGUUCCUUGGAACAGGACGUCACAGAGGGUGAGAAUCCCGUGCGAUGAGAUGACCCGGGUCUGUGUAAAGUUCCUUCGACGAGUCGAGUUGUUUGGGAAUGCAGCUCUAAGUGGGUGGUAAAUUCCAUCUAAAGCUAAAUAUUGGCGAGAGACCGAUAGCGAACAAGUACAGUGAUGGAAAGAUGAAAAGAACUUUGAAAAGAGAGUGAAAAAGUACGUGAAAUUGUUGAAAGGGAAGGGCUUGAGAUCAGACUUGGUAUUUUGCAUGUUGCUCUCUCGGGGGCGGCCGCUGCGGUUUACCGGGCCAGCAUCGGUUUGGAGCGGCAGGAUAAUGGCGGAGGAAUGUGGCACGGCUUCUGCUGUGUGUUAUAGCCUCUGACGAUACUGCCAGCCUAGACCGAGGACUGCGGUUUUUACCUAGGAUGUUGGCAUAAUGAUCUUAAGUCGCCCGUCUUGAACCCCCGGACAAAA